Molecule: long non-coding RNA, 252 nt
Filed under: Trifolium pratense (red clover)
Lineage: Eukaryota; Viridiplantae; Streptophyta; Magnoliopsida; Fabales; Fabaceae
Description: long non-coding RNA (TPRA_LNC004884)
Source: RNAcentral
UUAAAUGAUAAUUUGCAAUGUUUCAUAUUCCUAGGUUACUUAUUGUAUCUAGAAGUUCAUUCAUGCUCCUACAAGUUCUAGAGAGGGUCAUUUAAUAUGCCUAGAUGCUUUCACUUAUUUACUAGAAUUUUCUAUGCACCAAUAUAAAUAGAUGUUCUAUGUAUUGAAAAGGCAUUGCAUUGAAAAGAAACAUUAGUUCAAAAUUGUGUUUCUCAAGUUCCACUUUCCUUUUACUGCCUCUGUCUCCAACAG